GCACUUUAAGCAGUGAAGAAGACUCUUCGGUUAAUACCCGGAGACGAUGACAUUAGCUGCAGAAUAAGCACCGGCUAACUCUGUGCCAGCAGCCGCGGUAAUACAGAGGGUGCAAGCGUUAAUCGGAAUUACUGGGCGUAAAGGGAGCGUAGGUGGCUCUAUAAGUCAGAUGUGAAAUCCCCGGGCUUAACCUGGGAACUGCAUCUGAAACUGUAGAGCUAGAGUAUGUGAGAGGGAGGUAGAAUUUCAGGUGUAGCGGUGAAAUGCGUAGAGAUCUGAAGGAAUACCGAUGGCGAAGGCAGCCUCCUGGCAUAAUACUGACACUGAGGCUCGAAAGCGUGGGUAGCAAACAGGAUUAGAUACCCUGGUAGUCCACGCCGUAAACGAUGUCUACUAGUCGUUGG
Molecule: ribosomal RNA, 404 nt
Filed under: uncultured bacterium
Lineage: Bacteria
Description: bacterial SSU rRNA
Rfam family: Bacterial small subunit ribosomal RNA
Source: RNAcentral